CUUCAAUUGAUGACGUCAGCAGCACAAUUACUCCAGUCCAGGACCGCAAGAACCAACCAGAGAAGAAACUACCUGGCUCCUCUUCCAAAUAUGUGCUCAGUAAAUACACUGUGCAACCAGAUCCAACAGUACAGACCCGAUCAUCCUGUCCAGUCAGCAUACAAUGAUACGUACAAGUUCAGCUGAUGUGCUCCACCAAAGCAGGGUCCUGCGUUGACGAUGGAAGACCCAGAGAGGAUUAAGGAGCGUGAAACCCACCUACAGUGCUCAUUAUAAACAGAGUGAGCUCAGAAGCAAUAAACCAAACACAUGAACAUCAGUUGAUUAAUCUUGGGGGCCAACAAGAAAAUUGGAAAAUCUCAACCACUGGACUGGACUAGCAUGCAGGCAGACUACCCCCCAGUGAAGGACACAAGAGACUCACUUCGCCCCGGAACUAC
Long non-coding RNA from Conger conger (European conger), 440 nucleotides. RefSeq lists it as uncharacterized. The transcript is spliced from 4 exons. The record is from RefSeq and is a predicted model, not a curated record. NCBI's taxonomy places the organism in Eukaryota, Metazoa, Chordata, Actinopteri, Anguilliformes, Congridae.